CCAGUGGCGAAAGCGGCCUCCUGGCCCAUUUCUGACGCUCAGACACGAAAGCUAAGGUAGCAAACGGGAUUAGAGACCCCGGUAGUCUUAGCUGUAAACGAUGUGAACUUAGUGUCGGUGGGGUUAAAUCCAUCGGUACUGAAGCUAACGCGAUAAGUUCACCGCCUGAGGACUACGGCCGCAAGGUUAAAACUCAAAGGAAUUGACGGGGCCCCGCACAAGCAGCGGAGCGUGUGGUUUAAUUCGAUGUUACACGAAGAACCUUACCAGGGUUUGACAUGCAAGUGGUAGGAAGCCGAAAGGUGACCGACCCUUCGGGGAGCUUGCACAGGUGCUGCAUGGCUGUCGUCAGCUCGUGUCGUGAGAUGUUCGGUUAAGUCCGCUAACGAGCGCAACCCUCACUGUGUGUUAUAUGUGUCACACGGGACUGCCGGUCUUAAGCCGGAGGAAGAUGGGGAUGACGUCAAGUCAGCAUGGCCUUUAUGUCCUGGGCUACACACACGCUACAAUGGCCAACACAAUAGGUUGCUAAGCCGCGAGGUGGCGCCAAUCCAGUAAAGUUGGUCUCAGUUCAGAUUGUAGGCUGCAACCGUCCUGCAUGAAGAUGGAGUUGCUAGUAACCGCAGGUCAGCUAUACGUGCGGU
This 644-nucleotide ribosomal RNA is filed under the name uncultured bacterium. Its description in RNAcentral is "SSU rRNA". It matches the Rfam family "Bacterial small subunit ribosomal RNA", at positions 709 to 1363 of the family's 1533-position model. The record is from RNAcentral.